RNAcentral lists this small nucleolar RNA (78 nucleotides) under Sphenodon punctatus (tuatara). Its description in RNAcentral is "Small nucleolar RNA SNORD53/SNORD92 (ENSSPUG00000006300.1)". It matches the Rfam family "Small nucleolar RNA SNORD53/SNORD92". Rfam says of the family: U53 is a member of the C/D class of snoRNA which contain the C (UGAUGA) and D (CUGA) box motifs. Lineage: Eukaryota; Metazoa; Chordata; Lepidosauria; Sphenodontia; Sphenodontidae. The record is from Rfam by way of RNAcentral.
UUGCUAUGAUGAUAGUCACUUGGUUUCGCUGUCUUCUGAUGUUGAAUGAGGAUACUUUUCUCUUGGCUGUCUGAGCAG